UGACAAUGAUGUCUGACCCAGCACCAUCAUUCACUAACCACGUGGCCUCUGGCCAGGCAUCUACCUUCUCAGAGACUCAGAGUUUCUCUUCCAUGAAGAGGGCUGCUGAAAUUAAGUAGCAUUUAUGGUUUUCUGAAGGGCCUAGGCCAGCGACUGACAGAGAGAGAUAUUGAACAGAGAGCUGCUGAAUGGGUGCACAUGUUCUAUGGGUAAAGGAGUCUUCAUGAAGACUGAGUAUUUUCAGGCCUGCUCCUGCAUCCAGACUUAAACAGGGUUGGGAUCCACCAUCUCUCUGAAAGGAGCUUGGUGCACCAGGAUGACCACUUCCCUCGGUGGCUGUGGAGAGGGUGUCCAAGGGCUGGUGGCCUAGGCCUGCCACAGAAGCCUGAAAACUUGCUGGAAUAGAUCCUGGAAAGGCCAUGGAGAAUGGAUGGUGAGAGAGACACCCCACCCCUGCCCCCUAUAGGGAGAUUUCAUGGAAGGAAAUGGACUGCUUCUGACUGGUCUCUUGAGGAGUAAGAAAGUGGUGAGAGGGGCAAGCCUGACUUGACCAAGACUGGAGAAAGACACUCGCCCUUCUAAUUUUUUGGAACCUUUCUUGAAGAGGCAGGGUUUUCAGCUUCAGGCAUGGCUUGGUCCCUUCCACUUGCUUGCUCCAGGAUAUGACCUUGAGAGGAACCAACACUCCAGCUUGCACCUGGGGUUGCCUUUUUCAAGGCUUUGCAUUGACUCCCUGACUCCCUGUCCCCAAGAGCGUCCACUGAAAAGCUGUCAGAGGCAUCCAUGUGGCAGAGGAGGACUGAGGCCAAUGCCAGCUGGAAUGGUAUCACAGAACUAGAGCUUCUGAGGUUGUAGGAUUCAUGAGGCAUUGGGAAGAGACAGAGGAGGUCAUUUGAGUCUCUUUCUGAACUUCAUCUCACCUGUAUCUUUUGUUCCUUACACUCUGAUAGCAGGGACAACCUAAAAGAGGGUCUGAUGGAGGAGAGAAAGCAGGCUGAUCCUGGGCCCUUGGGUGCUGGAGGAAGAGGCCCCCUGAAGGGAGCAGGAGAAGAAAGGACAGCAGAGGAGUGCUGAAAUUCACCUUGCUGACUGCCCUGCUGACUGCCCUGGGCCACUGUUCUUGGCUUUAGGAGAUUCAAAGUCUAAGAAAGAUCCCUUUCCCCUGAUCCGCCAAAGUUUUCAUUUCCUGGAGAAAUAGCUUCUCUCUCUGCGUGUUUCCGUCAACUCUCAGCAAGACCUGAACAAGUGCAUGAAGGUGAUAAACCUGCUACUUCACUGGGGCUGUUUAUUUCCAGUCGACAAAUAUUGUGCCAAUGUUCACUUCAAUUAGGGGACACAUUUGACAAUCUGACUACUCCAUCUGAUGCCUCAAGGGCAAAUUUCAGCUCUUUCAGGAAGGGAUGGGCCAAUAACGGAUUCGUAUGAAUAAAAUAUACAGAGAAGGAACAUUCGCAGCAGUUUGGGGAAACCACCUUCUCCAGCAAGGAGAGCAAAAUGUCUACAUGAAGAUAAAAUUCACAUAAAUAAAGCAUGGGGCUUAAACUGUUGGGAUGCUGGGAAUUCAGAGUGAAGGCUCCUGUGCCUGCUUGCCCAUCACCUGCCUGGAGUUGGGAAUUAAGAAGUGCAAAUCAGCACUAAGGAGCCUAAGACAUUUGUAAUUCUAUGGAAGAAAAUCAUUGUGGCAGAGUUCAACUCGCUAAGAAUCUUACUCGUUUAUUCCAGUUUUAAAAACCAUCCUAGCAACCAGAAGUUUUUUGUGGUGUUUAAUUUUUAAUCCUUCUGUUUAAUUCCCUUUCUUCUUUAUUACCCUGAAGAUAAUCAGAAAAGCUGCUCAGCAUCCCCUUUUUACAGCUUUUCACAUCCUGGAAGGUAGAGUCAAGGACCAGGUCCCAUGAAUAGAGCUCUUCCUGCUCGGAAUUGACCUUGGGUCCAUGUUACCCUUUUCCUGGCAGCAGCAGACUAGAGGAUGAGUUAGGUCUUCUGUAGCACCUGCCUUGGGCAAGUGCCAUCAGCUCGCUGGACUCCUGUAUUCCCAUCAGGGAAAGGGAAAGUCAGUUCCUUCCUCAUCUUGGAAGGGUCUCCUGGGAAUCAAGUCAGGUGCUAAGAGGGGAAGGAAGUGAAAGUUUGAUAGAAAUGAAGGGACUCUCGUCGUUUGGUUCCUGUUUUUUGGGCUGACCUGGUCAGUACAAAGAACUCCCAGAGGCAGCUUCGUCACUGAGAUGGGAAAACAAAAGCAAAAAUUACCCUUAAGGCCAGGCUCAGUGGCCCACACCUAUAAUCCCAGAACUUUGGGAGGCCAAG
RNAcentral lists this long non-coding RNA (2301 nucleotides) under Homo sapiens (human). RNAcentral's name for it is "HSALNT0021617". The record is from RNAcentral. Lineage: Eukaryota; Metazoa; Chordata; Mammalia; Primates; Hominidae.